RNAcentral lists this ribosomal RNA (490 nucleotides) under uncultured bacterium. Its description in RNAcentral is "bacterial SSU rRNA". It matches the Rfam family "Bacterial small subunit ribosomal RNA", at positions 30 to 507 of the family's 1533-position model. The record is from RNAcentral.
AUUGAACGCUGGCGGCAUGCUUUACACAUGCAAGUCGGACGGCAGCAUGAAAGAGCUUGCUCUUUUGAUGGCGAGUGGCGAACGGGUGAGUAAUACAUCGGAACGUGCCCGGACGUGGGGGAUAACUACUCGAAAGAGUGGCUAAUACCGCAUACGAUCCAAGGAUGAAAGCGGGGGAUCGCAAGACCUCGCGCGUUUGGAGCGGCCGAUGGCAGAUUAGGUAGUUGGUGAGGUAAAGGCUUACCAAGCCUGCGAUCUGUAGCUGGUCUGAGAGGACGACCAGCCACACUGGGACUGAGACACGGCCCAGACUCCUACGGGAGGCAGCAGUGGGGAAUUUUGGACAAUGGGCGAAAGCCUGAUCCAGCCAUGCCGCGUGCAGGAUGAAGGCCUUCGGGUUGUAAACUGCUUUUGUACGGAACGAAAAGGUCUUUUCUAAUAAAGAAGGCUCAUGACGGUACCGUAAGAAUAAGCACCGGCUAACUACGUG